GACGAACGCUGGCGGCGUGCUUAACACAUGCCAGUCGAACGAAGAGCGAUGGAAGCUUGCUUCUAUCAAUCUUAGUGGCGAACGGGUGAGUAACGCGUAAUCAACCUGCCCUUCAGAGGGGGACAACAGUUGGAAACGACUGCUAAUACCGCAUACGAUCCAAUCUCGGCAUCGGGACUGGAUGAAAGGUGGCCUCUAUUUAUAAGCUAUCACUGAAGGAGGGGAUUGCGUCUGAUUAGCUAGUUGGAGGGGUAACGGCCCACCAAGGCGAUGAUCAGUAGCCGGUCUGAGAGGAUGAACGGCCACAUUGGGACUGAGACACGGCCCAGACUCCUACGGGAGGCAGCAGUGGGGAAUCUUCCGCAAUGGACGAAAGUCUGACGGAGCAACGCCGCGUGAGUGAUGACGGCCUUCGGGUUGUAAAGCUCUGUUAAUCGGGACGAAUGGUUCUUGUGCGAAUAGUGCGAGGAUUUGACGGUACCGGAAGAGAAAGCCACGGCUAACUACGUG
RNAcentral lists this ribosomal RNA (510 nucleotides) under uncultured bacterium. RNAcentral describes it as "partial 16S ribosomal RNA". It matches the Rfam family "Bacterial small subunit ribosomal RNA", at positions 28 to 507 of the family's 1533-position model. The record is from RNAcentral.